RNAcentral lists this ribosomal RNA (1746 nucleotides) under Sminthurides aquaticus. Its description in RNAcentral is "SSU rRNA". It matches the Rfam family "Eukaryotic small subunit ribosomal RNA". The record is from RNAcentral. Lineage: Eukaryota; Metazoa; Arthropoda; Collembola; Symphypleona; Sminthurididae.
AGUCAUAUGCUUGUCUCAAAGAUUAAGCCAUGCAUGUCUAAGUUCAAGCGCAAAUAAAGUGAAACCGCGAAUGGCUCAUUACAUCAGUUAUGGUUCCUUAGAUCGCACAUACUACUUGGAUAACUGUGGUAAUUCUAGAGCUAAUACAUGCAAUGAGCUCCGACCCUCGUGGAAGGAGCGCUUUUAUUAGAUCAAAGCCAAUCGGAUCUUCGGAUUCGUUUUGUUGGUGACUCUGAAUAACUUUGCUGAUCGCAUGGUCUCGUACCGGCGACGGAUCUUUCAAGUGUCUGCCUUAUCAACUUUCGAUGGUAGGUUAUGCGCCUACCAUGGUUGUAACGGGUAACGGGGAAUCAGGGUUCGAUUCCGGAGAGGGAGCCUGAGAAACGGCUACCACAUCCAAGGAAGGCAGCAGGCGCGCAAAUUACCCACUCCCGGCACGGGGAGGUAGUGACGAAAAAUAACGAUACGGAUCUCUUUAUGAGGCUCCGUAAUCGGAAUGAGUACACUUUAAAUCCUUUAACGAGGAUCUAUUGGAGGGCAAGUCUGGUGCCAGCAGCCGCGGUAAUUCCAGCUCCAAUAGCGUAUAUUAAAGUUGUUGCGGUUAAAAAGCUCGUAGUUGGAUCUCGGUUUCGGGCGGAUGGUUCAGAUUCGUCUGUUACUGUCUGCCCGGACGAUUUUGUUGGUUCGUUCGUGGUUCUCUUAACCGAGUGCCACGGGUGGCUAACACGUUUACUUUGAAAAAAUUGGAGUGCUCAAAGCAGGCGCUACAGCCUGAACAUUAGUGCAUGGAAUAAUGGAAUAGGAUCUCGGUUCUAUUUCGUUGGCUUUCGGAGUCGAGGUAAUGAUUAAUAGGAACAGACGGGGGCAUUCGUACUGCGACGUUAGAGGUGAAAUUCUUGGAUCGUCGCAAGACGAACUACUGCGAAAGCAUUUGCCAAGAAUGUUUUCAUUAAUCAAGAACGAAAGUUAGAGGUUCGAAGGCGAUCAGAUACCGCCCUAGUUCUAACCAUAAACGAUGCCGACCGGCGAUCCGCCGUCGUUACUUGAAUGACUCGGCGGGCAGCCUCCGGGAAACCAGAGUGUUUGGGUUCCGGGGGAAGUAUGGUUGCAAAGCUGAAACUUAAAGGAAUUGACGGAAGGGCACCACCAGGAGUGGAGCCUGCGGCUUAAUUUGACUCAACACGGGAAAUCUCACCAGGCCCGGACACCGGAAGGAUUGACAGAUUGAGAGCUCUUUCUUGAUUCGGUGGGUGGUGGUGCAUGGCCGUUCUUAGUUGGUGGAGCGAUUUGUCUGGUUAAUUCCGAUAACGAACGAGACUCUGGCCUACUAACUAGACGUUGGAUCAUUUAUGGUCUUUCGCAGCUUCUUAGAGGGACGGGCGGCGUAUAGCCGCACGAGAAUGAGCAAUAACAGGUCUGUGAUGCCCUUAGAUGUUCUGGGCUGCACGCGCGCUACACUGAAGGAAUCAGCGUGUGUACCCUGUCCGAAAGGACUGGGAAACCCGUUGAACCUCCUUCGUGAUGGGGAUUGGGGAUUGAAAUUAUUCCCCAUGAACGAGGAAUUCCCAGUAGGCGCGAGUCAUAAGCUUGCGUCGAUUACGUCCCUGCCCUUUGUACACACCGCCCGUCGCUACUACCGAUCGAGUGAUUUAGUGAGGCCUUUGGACUGGUCUUCGUGAUGGCCUUCGGGUCGUGGCGGAGUGCCGGAAAAAUGGCCAAACUUGAUCACUUAGAGGAAGUAAAAGU